RNAcentral lists this ribosomal RNA (501 nucleotides) under uncultured bacterium. Its description in RNAcentral is "bacterial SSU rRNA". It matches the Rfam family "Bacterial small subunit ribosomal RNA", at positions 28 to 524 of the family's 1533-position model. The record is from RNAcentral.
GAUGAACGCUAGCGGCAGGCUUAAUACAUGCAAGUCGAACGGUAACAUGAGUAGCAAUACUUGAUGACGAGUGGCGCACGGGUGCGUAACGCGUAUGCAACUUACCUUCAACUGGAAGAUAGCCCCUCGAAAGAGGGAUUAAUAUUCCAUAAUUUUAUGAUUUGGCAUCAAAUUAUAAUUAAAGAUCAGUCGGUUGAAGAUAGGCAUGCGUGACAUUAGCUAGUUGGUGAGGUAAUGGCUCACCAAGGCAACGAUGUCUAGGGGAUCUGGGAGGACUAACCCCCACACUGGUACUGAGACACGGACCAGACUCCUACGGGAGGCAGCAGUAAGGAAUAUUGGUCAAUGGAGGCAACUCUGAACCAGCCAUGCCGCGUGAAGGAUGAAGGCCCUAUGGGUUGUAAACUUCUUUUAGACGGGACAAAACCCCUUUACGUGUAAAGGGUUGAUGGUACUGUCAGAAUAAGCAUCGGCUAACUUCGUGCCAGCAGCCGCGGUAAU